Molecule: long non-coding RNA, 3192 nt
Organism: Astyanax mexicanus (Mexican tetra)
Lineage: Eukaryota; Metazoa; Chordata; Actinopteri; Characiformes; Acestrorhamphidae
Exons: 5
Source: RefSeq, a predicted model, not a curated record
UCAUUAUUUUGAGAUGCUAAGUCAUUAUUUUGCCAUACUUAGUUGUUAUUUAGAGAUAUUAAGUUGAGAUACUAUGUAAUUAUAUUGCGUGGGCAGCUAGUUAGCAAGUCAGCAUUUACUGCUUCAGACACAAGCAUAACCUAAGAAUGCUAAUGCUAACCUAGCCUUUUUCAGCUGGUGCUUUUUCAAUGGUAAACAGUCAGUCUGGUUUGUAAAGAGGUAGAAACUAAUACUAAGUGUAAAGAUUGAUGUUAAAAGCUUUAUUUUCAUCAGUUUAUUUUUAAAGAGAUUAGUAAUGAACUUCAGCUUGGUGUUUUUUAGCUUCCUGUUGACAUUUUGUGGUUUUGUUCUGCUUCACUACACAGAUAGCUAACGCUAGCUACACUGCUAUGGAGAGAUAAACACUGGGCUGGGUUGCAACAUUUUGUUGAGCUGGAGGGGACUACGCAGGUCAAUUCAAUGGGAGAUGCCUUAUGAGGCAGCUGUAAACGGCUCGUCACUGUAAAAUUUAUAGAUGAGUUUGUUCUGGGUGAGGAGACGUUCCACGGGGUUUUCCAGUAAAUGGAAGCUGCUGGUUUACCCUGAGCUCUACAGACGGCAAAAGUGUGACCAUCCUUAUCCUUUUCCAGCCAGCCAGUCAGAGUCAGACGGUCUAAAGGAUGAUCAGAGAGAGACUUUUUAACAAGUUGUUAAAGGCAGGGUCGCUUGUGGACACAGAGAUAUAACAGUUCUUCUCUUACAGGAAGUAACACUUCAAAUCUGCAUCAUGUAGAGAAAUGUAGCUGCAUAGCUUUGCUGGGUAUAUGGGAGCAUUUCACUUCAAAGUCUAAUCAGUACCGAAAUCAGGACUGCAUUACCAGUAAAUAGGUCUGGACAGCAGUCAGUGGAAUUUCCUGUCUUUUGCCGGUGACGUAACUGCUGAAGGAAAUUUUUCAUUAUGGAAUUGAAAUUGUCCAAUAUAAUCUGCCCAUGCCUUAGAUGAAGUGAGCAGUCAUGUGAUCAUGGUUCUUCUUUACUUUAUGGUAUUUACCAACUGCUUUAAAUAUAUUCCUCAUACUGUACUGUAAUUAUUUUUUUAUUUUAUCUUUCUAUUUAAUAUAUGUAGGCUUGUGUUUUUUUUAUGUUUUUUUAUCUUGUACACAAGGGCUAUCUUUCCUUGGAGCUUUAGUUAAUGCACUAAAAGAAUAAGAGGAUUGCAGGUCUACAUAUUAAUUGUAUGCUCUGUCACUGUGCACUGCAAGCGCCUUUAAAAUCAAACAUAUAUUUCUUGUAUGUGCAAAAUAAGCCUGCUGUUUUUGCACAACACAGACUUUAAAGUCAGGCUAAGUAAGUACUUAAUUUAGACUUUUUUUUUCCAUCUCAGUUUAAUCAACUUAUUUUAGUUAAAUCCCAAACACAUCAGUGAAUGGUAAUUUGCUGUUUAUUAUCUGCAGUAUAGAACCCCGCCUAUUACAUGGGGGCAUGUCUUCAUAUUCUCAGACUCCUGAAUGGAGAGUUGUGGUAUUAAUGGGAUUUUAACUCAGGGUAUAUUCUGAAAAAAAAAAAGUAUAUUUACUUAGAACUCAGUGCAGAACUCAGCGAUUAUUUGAUUAUAAUGACAACAUAUUGUGGUGCUGAUUAUUUUUAAUUGUACAGCUAAUAUCAGUAAGCAUGCAGCAAACCAAGCUCUUUUUGAGUUUGUUCGAGAAAUAUACAAAUACCUUCUCAGCAUAUAACAACAAUAAAGAGAGACAGACAUUGUGCUUAUCACUGAAUUCUGCUAUACAGUAUAUUUACACACUCUGAAAAAUGGAGGACUCAAAGGGCAAUGCUAUAAAAAAGCACUUUUGUUCAUGCUAAAAGAUAUAAAAGAAUGUAUCUAUGCAACUGUACUGUUUCGUCAUGUAACUCUACACUUAGUUUACAUACCUUUUUUAUAUUAAUCUUUAUUUUCUGGUAUUUCAGAUCACAUUUACAUAAAAAAUAAGCUCUGAUUUGCUGAUUAUGCACUUUCCCAAAAUUAUGGCUAUAGGACAAAAUGAGUCAGAGCCCUCGGGGUAAGUUUGACCAACAGGCAAUCUUACCCACUUUUGUUUACAAGAUGUUAAAUCAAAUAUGUAAUAAAAUAUGUGCUAAAAUUAGUGUUGCAUCCACAAUCCACAUCCACAUAAUUUCCAUUAUGUAUUAUAUAUACUUACCAAGAAACUAAGAAUUCUUCCCCUUAUCAAAUCAGCUAAUCCUUUUUUGGCAGUGAAAUGCAUUAAUAAAGCCAGCAGCUUCAUGAGAGAUAGAUAGAUAGACAGACAGACAGACAUGUACUUUAGGAAACAUGUACUGUUUAAAUUAACCAUCAGAAUAAAGAAAAACAUGAUUUUAGUGAUUUUGAGUGUGGCAUCAUUGUUGAUGUCAGAAAACAUGCUGAUGACUUGGAAUUUUCAGUCCUUUCAUGAGGCUUUGUUAAUGUAUAACUAUUGGUGGAAUUAAACAUGUUUAAUAUGUAUUUAAUAACUGGUUACUCAGUCAGCUGGAUCAUCUUACCCCUAACAUGGGUCCAAAUGACUCUCAUAAACACUUUUUUGGGGGGGAUCUCAUAGUUAGGGACACUGCUUGGGUUUUAAUUUAUUUAAAGUGUGGUUUUCAUUAUUUUUAUUUCUGCCACAUUCUCUUAUAGUUUCUUAUCUAAUAGUCAAAUUAAGUGAAGCAUGGCUAAUCUUACCCAACUCUUUUCCAUAGUGUGGGUGUGAAAAACCUUUAAGUUGUAAAGACACACACUCACACUAUAUCUCUAUUACAAUAUGCUUCUUUAUUGAGCUAAAAGUGAUUCUUCUUUAUUUUAUUGAGUGCAAGUGCGUGUAUGCGUGAACGUGCAGGGCUGUAUAAUCUGAUGAGUCCGGUGCAUAUUUUGCAAGCCACAUGCUUUGUGUAUCCGAUUAUACAGGAUGCGGUUUGAGCUGCCCCCCAAACAGCUUUUUUCAUUUGUAUCGUUCAGCGGAGGCAACGUGAGCGUGGUGAAAUGUCACUGAUUAGACUGAAACAAACAGAACAAACACAACCACUUAUGGCUGGCAAGUUUUUGCUGACAUGUGGAAAUGCUGUUCAGACCCUCAAAACCACAAGAACAGCACAGUAUGAGUCAUUAACACCUGUUUUGUUUACAAAAAAUGCUCAUUUAUAAUCAUUUUUAUGUAACAAUAAUUAAAUUGAUGCGUGAAA